GAUGAACGCUGGCAGCGUGCCUAAUACAUGCAAGUCGAGCGAACAGACGAGGAGCUUGCUCCUCUGACGUUAGCGGCGGACGGGUGAGUAACACGUGGAUAACCUACCUAUAAGACUGGGAUAACUUCGGGAAACCGGAGCUAAUACCGGAUAAUAUAUUGAACCGCAUGGUUCAAUAGUGAAAGACGGUUUUGCUGUCACCUAUAGAUGGAUCCGCGCCGCAUUAGCUAGUUGGUAAGGUAACGGCUUACCAAGGCAACGAUGCGUAGCCGACCUGAGAGGGUGAUCGGCCACACUGGAACUGAGACACGGUCCAGACUCCUACGGGAGGCAGCAGUAGGGAAUCUUCCGCAAUGGGCGAAAGCCUGACGGAGCAACGCCGCGUGAGUGAUGAAGGUCUUCGGAUCGUAAAACUCUGUUAUUAGGGAAGAACAAAUGUGUAAGUAACUAUGCACGUCUUGACGGUACCUAAUCAGAAAGCCACGGCUAACUACGUG
This 497-nucleotide ribosomal RNA is filed under the name uncultured bacterium. Its description in RNAcentral is "partial 16S ribosomal RNA". It matches the Rfam family "Bacterial small subunit ribosomal RNA", at positions 28 to 507 of the family's 1533-position model. The record is from RNAcentral.